Molecule: ribosomal RNA, 497 nt
Filed under: uncultured bacterium
Lineage: Bacteria
Description: partial 16S ribosomal RNA
Rfam family: Bacterial small subunit ribosomal RNA
Source: RNAcentral
GAUGAACGCUGGCGGCGUGCCUAAUACAUGCAAGUCGAGCGAACGGACGAGAAGCUUGCUCUUCUGAUGUUAGCGGCGGACGGGUGAGUAACACGUGGAUAACCUACCUAUAAGACUGGGAUAACUUCGGGAAACCGGAGCUAAUACCGGAUAAUAUUUUGAACCGCAUGGUUCAAAAGUGAAAGACGGUCUUGCUGUCACUUAUAGAUGGAUCCGCGCUGCAUUAGCUAGUUGGUAAGGUAACGGCUUACCAAGGCAACGAUGCAUAGCCGACCUGAGAGGGUGAUCGGCCACACUGGAACUGAGACACGGUCCAGACUCCUACGGGAGGCAGCAGUAGGGAAUCUUCCGCAAUGGGCGAAAGCCUGACGGAGCAACGCCGCGUGAGUGAUGAAGGUCUUCGGAUCGUAAAACUCUGUUAUUAGGGAAGAACAUAUGUGUAAGUAACUGUGCACAUCUUGACGGUACCUAAUCAGAAAGCCACGGCUAACUACGUG